RNAcentral lists this transfer RNA (73 nucleotides) under Trichonephila inaurata madagascariensis. It matches the Rfam family "tRNA". Rfam says of the family: Transfer RNA (tRNA) molecules are approximately 80 nucleotides in length. Lineage: Eukaryota; Metazoa; Arthropoda; Arachnida; Araneae; Nephilidae. The record is from Rfam by way of RNAcentral.
UCCUCGGUAGUAUAGUGGUCAGUAUCCCCGCCUGUCACGCGGGAGACCGGGGGUUCGAUUCCCCGCCGGGGUA